This 71-nucleotide transfer RNA is filed under the name Actinomycetota bacterium. RNAcentral's name for it is "tRNA-Ala". It matches the Rfam family "tRNA". From Rfam's summary of the family: Transfer RNA (tRNA) molecules are approximately 80 nucleotides in length. Their secondary structure includes four short double-helical elements and three loops (D, anti-codon, and T loops). Lineage: Bacteria; Bacillati; Actinomycetota. The record is from RNAcentral.
GGCCGUAGCUCAGCCGGGAGAGCGCCGCCCUUGCACGGCGGAGGUCAGGGGUUCGAUCCCCCUCGGCUCCA